Molecule: long non-coding RNA, 2914 nt
Filed under: Nicotiana tabacum (common tobacco)
Lineage: Eukaryota; Viridiplantae; Streptophyta; Magnoliopsida; Solanales; Solanaceae
Description: long non-coding RNA (NTAB_LNC000812)
Source: RNAcentral
CCCCUUUGGAUUCUAACUGAAAGAAACUUUUCUUAUCUGAAUUUCCUUCCCAUAAGAAGUUGCUUCUUAAUGAGAAAAGUCUCUUUUCAACUCUUGUGAGAUAGAGAACAGUGAUGUCUAAGUAGGAAUACCAUCAAGAACAGUGUUUACUGAAGUGUCUGCUUCCAAAAGAAACUGCUUCUUCCAUGAUGUUAGCUUCUUUCUACAUCUAUCAAUUACCCCUUAAUAUAUACCGAUGUGCUUCUGUUUAGCCCCAAGAGGGAUGCAUCUCCUAUUCCUUAAUGUUCCAACAAGUAAUACUACGCUUUUAGAAGAAAUAUCAGCAUAAAACUUCCACUCACCUUCAAUUAGAACAGGAAAACCAAAAAAUAAGCUCCAAGUAACCCUGAUCCUACCCACUAACUCCUUUUCUUCUGCCUUGGGCUUCCUAAUGUCUUUUGACUUUUUUUAUAAAAUGACGGUAGUGUCCAAGCCAUUUUGUGUGCACCUUGACUAUUCCACCGGGUAGUUGGUACCUCGCACUAGCACAUGUACCAGGUAACUCUCUCCAUCAAGGCUUAGGCAUAUGAGAAGAAAUCACCUAUUGUUUUUUGCCUCCACUGGAAUAUGAACCUAAGACCUCUUGAUUCUCCCCUCCACUUCAGUGACCACCAGGCCACACCCUUGGGUGCACCUUUGACUCUUUUCAAUCUCAGAUAUUGUCAUUCUUGCAGAUUUAAGGACAAAAUUACCUUGUAAGAAUCAGCUUCGACAGUAGGUGGACAUAAAUGCUUCGAUGUGGAACUACUAGAGUAAGCUGUUGCCUUGGAAAGGACAUGCAACAAUAAAAGGAACCAAAAACCACGCUGUUCCUUUUACAGUAUUUUGCUGCCACAUCCUUCUCCUCAGAAGAAAAUCAUUUGUAAUUUAAACUUGUGCACUGCCUUGCACCAAUAAGGGGUAAACGCUUCUUAAAUCGAGAUAGGAAAGUGCUAUCUUACCAAGAAAAUCUACAAAAACCUCAGGCGUUAGGGAGAAAUACUAUAACGUAACAAAUUUUGAGAGAAAUAAAUUUCCUUUCAAUUCCUACCAAGGAAAGCUCUAAGUGAUGGAGAAAAUUAGAAAUUUAAACUCACCAGAUUAAGUACAUGGUCUUUGAAAGAAGAAGCUUUAGAAGCUGGCUUCCUUGUCCCAAUUCUUUGAAGUUGCUCAAUCUCCUAUCAUAGUGAAAGAGAGAGCAAGGGAAAAGUUCACAACUGAAGCUGCUAUGACAAAUCCAUUCGGAAAAUGAAGAUGAAGGAAACUUACAACUUCAAACUUAAAUAGACAAAGCUUGCCCUCAAGUGGUAACCUAUUGUGCAACCGCAUUAAAAAGUCUGCAAAUGAUCAAAGUUAUACCACAAUAUCAAUUAUCAAUGAAUUUGAUAACAACCAAUAGUUGUGGUCAGUCUGGUCAUCUCCAGGUUGUUGAGAGUUUGUCAUAUUCAUUUACAUUGUACCUCUCAUCAAAUGCUGAGACAAACUGACUAGACGCAGGCAUUAAUCUAUUCAGUUAAAUGAUGAAUAAUUACUCUACGUGAGGAUCUAAUUGCUAUAGUAUGUGAAAUUAUAUUCUUGUUUCCAGCAUGCAUAACUGCAAAUAUGUUAAGCUUGAAACUUAAGAAAGAAAAGGAUUUCAAGCAAAGAAUAUAAACCAAACACUUCCAGUCAGAAAAAUGGUGAAACUCAAAGUAUAAGUUUUUACUUCCAAAGGGCUAAGCUACAAAUAACUUGCCAAGAGAAAACGAGAGCAGUGUAGUGCUUUUAUACAAAUUAUAUAACAUAAAACUACAAUGUUUUCCAAAGAUGUUUAUAAACUACAAGAAGACUUGAUAAGUUCAAGGCAGAAAGAUGUACAGGUCCUAAUUUGGGAAAAAAACGUUAUACGUUGGAGAAAGUGAAAAUUCUAUUGAUUAGUGCAAAAUCCCCCGAGUACAAGAGGAAGGAAAAACAAAUACAUUAAAAGCGCUUGAUGAGAUCCAGGUAUUGAACCAUGUCAGAUUCAGACAUUGAAUCACAUCCUUUAGAAGUUAAUAGAUGAUAGUUGCAGAAGCUCCUUACUAUAGAAUAGCUGCAAAAUCAGAUCUAGGAAAAGAAUAUCACUAAACCUUUAUUCAAUGCUAUAACAUUCAUAUAUAGGAUUCUUUGAUCCAUUCCUAUAGCAUAAAAUCCAGAACUAUAAAUCUAAGUCACUUGUCGAAUUAAUUAACAGAACUAUAAAUCUAACUUGAAUAAUUUGUUGAAUUUUAAAUUACAUUUAGUUAAUCCAGCAUCAGUUCAGAGAGAGAACCUCCAUUAGCUAAGCUUAUCGCUACUUUCAAGGCUCUGUGUAUGAACUACUUUUUCAGGUUCAGAUCUAGACACUUCCCAUUUUGGACGUUCCCAAAUGUUUUGACACCAUUUCCAUUUCUAUACAAACUUUCAGUUAUUCAAAUUCAUUCAACUAUUCAAACUUUAAAAUUAGCCGUGAUUUUUUCUCCAUCAAACAAACUUUUCAACAUUACUUCAAUGUUUUCUUUUAUAAUCGCUCAUUUAAAAUAUAAGUCAAAUGAAUAUCUUGAACUCUGAACCAAUGAAUUUGAAACACUGAACUUUUUUACAAAAGGUCUCAAAAGAGGAACUGGGGUGACAGAUCAUAAAAGCAUGAUGCAUGCAUUAACUGUAUAACAGUGAUCCCUACUAACUAUCUAGCUUAACUGACCUUCGUUCCCCGAGUCAAUUGGCUACAGUCAACAGAUCUUAAGCAACUUCAAACAGGAGGAAAAAGCAUUCUGGCUCAAAUAUAUAAGACCACUUCAUUUCUAGAUAAAGGAAAAGAGGAAUACAAUCCUUACCUUUGAUUUAUCUUCAGCCAAUCACAACUGCUUAAUGAUUUUGGAUUCAGAGCCCAGAAUGU